ACUGCCGUGGUUGCAGGAUGUGAAUAGCACCCGUGCCCAAACCAUGGAAAAAAGACUGUCUCUCUCUGAGCCGCCCACACCAAAGAGAGAGACAGAGGUCCCCUUCAUCUCAGCUAAGACGAGCGGCGUCAGGUUGGAAAAAUCAAGAACGGCGGUGCAGCGCAGCGUGAGGAUUUCGUCGACUACCCAAAGUUCUCGGCGGUAGAUGUGGCAAUAGGUGAAGCACCUACGGAUCCCAUCUUCUCCAGAACCAAUAGCCAGAUACCUUCACAUCACCCGUCAAUCGACGUGGAUCUUGUUGAAGACGAGAACAACAGCAGGCCAGCGACGCCGCCAUGCUGCCGACCAUGCCGGGAAACGAUGGAUGGAUAAGACGGCAGAGUGAUAGAUAAAUGAAGUAAGAAGCAUUGCAGUAGUCAACCGAGUGAAACAGAACUAGCAAUUCUUUCCAGGCACCAGUAGAAGGAUAUCGAAGUGCUAUAGAGCGUGCAAUUGAAGAAGCAUCAAAACUUGGGAAACAAUUGUUUUCGAACAACCUGUUGGCUUAAUAAAUGAAAUGGCAAGUCAUUUGCCUUGUUUCAAAAAAAAAAAACCGAGCAGGAGGCAUAUGAGUUCUACAACGCAUAUUCAUGGUGGCUUGGAUUCAACAUCAGGCGGGGAAACAAAUAUGUCAAUGACUCAAAAUACAAAUCAAAGCAGCAAGUUUCAAAGUGGUUUUUUCGGAAAAGUUUGGAAGUGGCUUAUUUAGGUCAAUAAAAUAUAUAUCAUUGGGUUGCUAAGAUAUCCAUGAUAGUCGGAGAAAGUAGCACCCAAGUGCUCAAAGCUUACACAGAUUACCAGAACAAACGUACCUUACGGAGUACACGCUUAUGUUCGUGCCCUCAUUAGCCCCCCUGAUACUACCAUUCAUCACAAUGCAGUCUCCAUUCCUUUGUGUUGUGCAUAGCAAAUUAAACAUCACAUUUGGACAAAGUACACAAGGAACAUGCUUGAGAAAACAAAACGGUAGACAGACAAGGCAGUUACUUUGCAGUAUUCACGGAAAGCAUGAAUUCUGACUCCAGCGUCUUGAUAGGAACGAAUUGAAGAUCUUAAAACA
Molecule: long non-coding RNA, 1099 nt
Organism: Triticum aestivum (bread wheat)
Lineage: Eukaryota; Viridiplantae; Streptophyta; Magnoliopsida; Poales; Poaceae
Exons: 4
Source: RefSeq, a predicted model, not a curated record